This 1241-nucleotide long non-coding RNA is filed under the name Homo sapiens (human). Its description in RNAcentral is "HSALNT0303830". The record is from RNAcentral. Lineage: Eukaryota; Metazoa; Chordata; Mammalia; Primates; Hominidae.
CUGACCAGACAAGGGCAUUGUCCCCACUCAGAAAUGCUCCAAAAGAACUAAGGAGAAGGAUUAGAGGAGACAAAAUGUUUUUGCUAAAUUCUUGCACUGAAGCCAGAGUUGCUCAGGAAAUAACAGCUCAGUUUGUUAGCUCUGAUCUCUAAUUCCAUCCCAAAUUCAUAACGUUAUUUUUUUUGUUUGUUUCCAUUGUUCAUUUGUUGUGUGCCUCUUAGGAUGUCCCUUUCCAUCUGGGCCUCAAUGACCUUCCCUGGGAAAUGGGGUACUUGUACUUAACCAUACCCCUGCUUCUAAAGACAAACUGGGAAAAUUAAAUGGAAAUUCUAAAAGAAAGCUUCAUCUUUUAGUUCCUUAGAGAACUAGCAUUACAGUUGAUUACCUAGGUGAUGAUUCAAGCUAUUCAACCCUUGUCAUUCUGAAUGUACUUCUCUUCCAGCUUGCCUUGGAAAGAAAAUCAGCCAGUUAAAGAAAGCAUCAGCUGGAACUCUCUCAGCUCUCAGUGACUGCAGAGUGAACUAUGGCAUUCAGCAUAGAAAAUGUUCUUCCAGUGCUCCAAUAAAUAGCAUUCAGUUUUUAGCCCCAGGGAAUUCAGUGUAGCCCUGGUUACUCCUCACUGCCACAGCCAACACUGCUUCCUUGGGUAGGAGAAAUGAUUUAUGGAGGUGAGCAGCCAUUCCAAACUUUAAUUAAGCACGUAAAGAACCAUCAAUUUUUUAAAGGGCACCAACCCAGAAAGAUGAGAGCUGAACUCCUGUAGAACAUAAUUACCUUUCCAACAUUUUAUCUGAUCUCCUUGUUUUACUUCUCUAAGAUGAGCUGAACAACAGCCAAUCAACCACCCCCACAGAAACCAUGGAAAUGCACAGGCCACCCUUGGACCAUGACAUACAGGGCAUCUGACUGAUAGUCCCACCAAGACUGCCUAUGAUCAUUUUACUCCUGCAGAGAAAGAUGUGCCUAAAAGAGAAGCAGCACCUACCUGGAAGACUCAGGAGACAAAGAGGGAAAGAAAUGAAUCCCCAAGAUUUCCUGGGCUGAGCCUAACAGGAUAUGAGAAGCAGAAACUUCUGGAUUGUGAGAAGAAACAAAGGAAGAAGAGAGAUGCUCUAUAGGAGAAAAAUCACAGACAAUAAGUGGGGAGAGCAAGAAGACAAAGUUUUGUUACUUUAAUUCACCACUCCUAUCCCCAGCCACCAGUGGCCAUCCUGUACUGGAUUCUAAACCCAGGGCCCUAA